This 497-nucleotide ribosomal RNA is filed under the name uncultured bacterium. Its description in RNAcentral is "partial 16S ribosomal RNA". It matches the Rfam family "Bacterial small subunit ribosomal RNA", at positions 28 to 507 of the family's 1533-position model. The record is from RNAcentral.
GAUGAACGCUGGCGGCGUGCCUAAUACAUGCAAGUCGAGCGAACGGACGAGAAGCUUGCUUCUCUGAUGUUAGCGGCGGACGGGUGAGUAACACGUGGAUAACCUACCUAUAAGACUGGGAUAACUUCGGGAAACCGGAGCUAAUCCCGGAUAAUCUUUUGAACCGCAUGGUUCAAAAGUAAAAGACGGUCUUGCGGUCACUUAUAGAUGGAUCCGCGCUGCAUUAGCUAGUUGGUAAGGUAACGGCUUACCAAGGCAACGAUGCAUAGCCGACCUGAGAGGGUGAUCGGCCACACUGGAACUGGGACACGGGCCAGGCUCCUACGGGAGGCAGCAGUAGGGAAUCUUCCGCAAUGGGCGAAAGCCUGACGGAGCGACGCCGCGUGAGUGAUGAAGGUCCUCGGAUCGUAAAACUCUGUUAUUAGGGAAGAACAUAUGUGUAAGUAACUGUGCACAUCUUGACGGUACCUAAUCAGAAAGCCACGGCUAACUACGUG